This 427-nucleotide ribosomal RNA is filed under the name uncultured bacterium. Its description in RNAcentral is "partial 16S ribosomal RNA". It matches the Rfam family "Bacterial small subunit ribosomal RNA", at positions 354 to 796 of the family's 1533-position model. The record is from RNAcentral.
GUGAGGAAUAUUGUACAAUGGGCGAAAGCCUGAUGCAGCAACGCCGCGUGAGUGAUGAAGGCCUUUGGGUCGUAAAACUCUGUCCUUGGGGAAGAAAAAAAUGACGGUACCCUUGGAGGAAGCCCCGGCUAACUACGUGCCAGCAGCCGCGGUAAUACGUAGGGGGCAAGCGUUAUCCGGAAUUAUUGGGCGUAAAGAGUGCGUAGGUGGUUUUGUAAGCGUAGGGUGAAAGGCAGUAGCUCAACUAUUGUUAGCCCUGCGAACUGUGAGACUUGAGUGCAGGAGAGGAAAGUGGAAUUCCUAGUGUAGCGGUGAAAUGCGUAGAUAUUAGGAGGAACACCAGUGGCGAAGGCGACUUUCUGGACUGUAACUGACACUGAGGCACGAAAGCGUGGGUAGCAAACAGGAUUAGAAACCCUUGUAGUCC